RNAcentral lists this long non-coding RNA (388 nucleotides) under Physcomitrium patens. Its description in RNAcentral is "long non-coding RNA (PPAT_LNC005928)". Lineage: Eukaryota; Viridiplantae; Streptophyta; Bryopsida; Funariales; Funariaceae. The record is from RNAcentral.
GGUGCCCCCUUUUUAUGAUUCCAAUAUUGUAGGUUUGUAUGGAUACUAAAGCCAAAGAUAGUUUUAUGUCCACCUUCAAUAUCUUGAAAAAAUUUCUCCAAAACUUAGAUAUAAUUUGAGUUCCUUCACUUGGUUACAACUUAGGGUCUCCACCCAUUUUGUACACACUCCAUCAAAGGUGCUUUUGCUCUUGGUAUGGAACUUAAUGUAAAUGACCUAAAACCAUGUUUGUUAUGGUGUGUAGCUUGUGCAAAGGGGGCCUCUUAAGUAUGAUAAGUAAAGCCUAUCUUAAUACAUAAGAUAUAAUAUCAUGUUAAUUGAAUUCAUUUGACUUUUUUGAUUGUUUUAUUGUUGAGUAAUGUUUGAUUUUUUAUUUUAAAAGUUUAUU